This 92-nucleotide non-coding RNA is filed under the name Ruminococcus flavefaciens. RNAcentral describes it as "THF riboswitch". It matches the Rfam family "THF (Tetrahydrofolate) riboswitch aptamer". From Rfam's summary of the family: THF riboswitch presents a pseudoknot that joins P1-P2 and the loop of P3 and two THF binding. The record is from RNAcentral. Lineage: Bacteria; Bacillati; Bacillota; Clostridia; Eubacteriales; Oscillospiraceae.
AGAGUAAAAGCGAGUUCGUUAAGUGCCUGCCGAACGGGGAGUUGUCGGCGGGACGAAGGCAUAACGCCGCGGUUCGCGCUUUGCAUCCCGCU